RNAcentral lists this unclassified non-coding RNA (393 nucleotides) under uncultured fungus. Its description in RNAcentral is "sequence contains ITS1". The stretch from base 1 to 98 matches the Rfam family "5.8S ribosomal RNA", at positions 49 to 154 of the family's 154-position model. Lineage: Eukaryota; Fungi. The record is from RNAcentral.
UAAAGUGCGAUAUGUGAUGCGAUUUGCAUGAAUCUGUGAGUCAUCGAGUCUUUGAACGCAACUUGCGCCUCUGCGGAGGCAUGUCUGCCUGAGGGCCAACAACAUUUGCGCACGCGACGUGGUCUGUGUGUUUUUAGUGUGUGGUGGUGGGGGUGUUUGGCUGGUGUGUGCAUUUGCACACAUUGCCACUACCUCAUAUCGUCUGCUACUGGACACUGGACUGAAAGAAAGCGCCAAUGGUCGGCAAGACCCGAGUGCUAAGCAUUCUUGGGUUGCGCUGGUCCGCGGCGGUGGCGUUGUGAAGGGUGCGUGUGUAACAACACGCACCACAAACAUACAACCACAUAUCCAUACUCAGGCCUCAGGUCAGGCAAGACUACCCGCUGAACUUAA